CCCUUAGAUGUUCUGGGCCGCACGCGCGCUACACUGAUGAAUUCAACGAGCUCCUAACCUAGGCCGAAGGGUCCGGGUAAUCUUUGAAAUUUCAUCGUGAUGGGGAUAGAUUAUUGUAAUUAUUAAUCUUCAACGAGGAAUUCCUAGUAAGCGCGAGUCAUCAGCUCGCGUUGAUUACGUCCCUGCCCUUUGUACACACCGCCCGUCGCUCCUACCGAUUGAAUGGUCCGGUGAAAUGUUCGGACCGCGACAAGGCGGACGGUUCGCUGUCAGCUUUGCUGCGGGAAGUUCAUUAAACCUUAUCAUUUAGAGGAAGGAGAAGUCGUAACA
This 330-nucleotide ribosomal RNA is filed under the name uncultured eukaryote. RNAcentral describes it as "partial 18S ribosomal RNA". It matches the Rfam family "Eukaryotic small subunit ribosomal RNA", at positions 1470 to 1796 of the family's 1831-position model. The record is from RNAcentral.